GCAGACACAUUCCAGCCAAUCAGCAGCAGACCCUCCCUCCCAGACCCUACCACCUCCUGGACAUCAUCUAUUGUGAAGCUGCAUUCUUAGUGAGCUGUCCAGGAGGUGGGAGGGUCUGGGAGGGAGGGUCUGCUGCUGAUUGGCUGGAAUGUGUCUG
This 157-nucleotide microRNA precursor is filed under the name Pelobates cultripes (western spadefoot toad). The record is from RNAcentral. Lineage: Eukaryota; Metazoa; Chordata; Amphibia; Anura; Pelobatidae.